RNAcentral lists this transfer RNA (55 nucleotides) under Fusobacterium sp. CAG:439. RNAcentral describes it as "transfer RNA-Pseudo(GTT)". It matches the Rfam family "tRNA", at positions 8 to 61 of the family's 71-position model. From Rfam's summary of the family: Transfer RNA (tRNA) molecules are approximately 80 nucleotides in length. Lineage: Bacteria; Fusobacteriati; Fusobacteriota; Fusobacteriia; Fusobacteriales; Fusobacteriaceae. The record is from RNAcentral.
UAGCUCAAUGGCGGAGCAACCGGCUGUUAACCGGUAGGUUGUUGGUUCGAGUCCA